RNAcentral lists this long non-coding RNA (216 nucleotides) under Carica papaya (papaya). RNAcentral describes it as "long non-coding RNA (CPAP_LNC007757)". The record is from RNAcentral. Lineage: Eukaryota; Viridiplantae; Streptophyta; Magnoliopsida; Brassicales; Caricaceae.
GGGCCUGGAAGGAGCUUGAGUUUGGACCUUUGUCUCUUAUUCUACUAGUUCAAUGCAGUAGGUGCUGGCUUGCGAUGUGGAACCGGGGGCCUAACGUUGUCCACUAUUGGAAAAAAAUGCGAAGGAUUCUAUCAAUUAUGCCUUAGUCAAAACUGUUGAGUAGGUGCUGAGUUCAAAUAUAUACAAUUGCUGUUUAAUUUCAGGAUAGAGGCCCCA